This 252-nucleotide ribosomal RNA is filed under the name uncultured bacterium. Its description in RNAcentral is "partial 16S ribosomal RNA". It matches the Rfam family "Bacterial small subunit ribosomal RNA", at positions 524 to 776 of the family's 1533-position model. The record is from RNAcentral.
UACGUAGGGUGCUAGCGUUAUCCGGAUUUACUGGGCGUAAAGGGCGCGUAGGUGGUCUUUCAAGUCGGUGGUUAAAGGCUACGGCUCAACCGUAUUAAGCCGCCGAAACUGGAAGACUUGAGUGCAGGAGAGGAAAGUGGAAUUCUCAGUGUAGCGGUGAAAUGCGUAGAUAUUGAGAAGAACACCAGUAGCGAAGGCGGCUUUCUGGCAAUCAUCAGACGCGGAGGUACGAAAGCGUGGGGAGCAAACAGG